GACACUAUACUGCAAGGUUGAAAACUGGAUUUAUGUAAAACUUGAAUUCAGUGCGUUUGUUUAAUCUUCAGUAGACUAUGUGUUCAAGGUGCAACUGGGAAUUUGUGAUUAGUUUGUUAAAUGCUGCCAUCUUGUGGAAAAACGUAAAAGCAAUAAAGUUAAAGUAAUACUGCGUUUGUAAAAUACUGCUUAGUACCUUAAGGGCGCUUUUCCACCGCACAAAGUACGGUAACUCACUGACGGUAACUCACCCCCGCAGUUAAGUCUGCAUUAUCCAACCACUUCAUGCCUAUGUACACCUCAUUAUAUAUAAAUCCAGGAAAUGUUUUGUUUUAAAAUGUCUAUUAAAAUGAAGUAAAGAUAUUUUGGAGGAGUUCGUGACUGACAAGUGAAAACUAUUUCAAAAAAUGAAAGAAACUUGUACUAAAAAUCUUUAAGCAGAAGUACAAUGAUCACUGGCGGUUAUUUUGGCCGCGCGGGCAGGAACACGUUCAACAAGCUCACGCGGUUUUCCCGCUCCCUCCACCUCUGAGGAGAAAGUGCGCGUUCAAAGCAAGAAGUGGAUUUCACCCGGCGGACCUGCUCUGACUGUCUGGUAGCCCCCUAUGGCCUCAUGAAGUCAGCAUUUCAGUUACAGAAGCCUAGGAGCGGCCAAGCAGGGCCACCCCCGAGCCCAGCAGCACCAGCCACUGCCGAUACCUUUGAGCUACACGUUUGCUUACAGAGCGGUGAGGAAAGGUCCGAAGGCCUUCAGGGGCCGGCGGUGUAGCCGCGAGGGCUGUGGGCUCAGCCCCUCCAUGUGAGAUGAGCAGCAGAGACCAUGCAGCUGGCACUGGAAUCAGAUGGUGACCCACAUACUUCUCUGCAGUGGCACAGAGCCACGUCUACAAGGAGCUCUGGGGUCUGGAAGAGGCUCGUAGCAGAUGCUUCCGCAAUGCAAAUACCUGCUCUUUGAGGAAUGACCUGCAGACCUGUGAGCCAUUGCCACUGGAUGAGGGGAGUGUCACAGCACUGACCAUGCACAUGGAUACAUACGUCAAACGCACUGAUAUCUGCAUGGCCUCCACACAGCUACAGCUGUUAGAAUGACAGCAUGUUCCCUGCCAGCAGCCUCAGUAGGUGGCGGAGACCCCAGGCAGCCUCCUAGCUGCCCUGAUAGAUGAAACAAAGCAAAAUCUAAAAGGGGCCAACUGCUAGCGGAAAGCAAGGUCUCCUGACCAGGAACUGCACCAAGAAUUAUAAGGGAUCCGACUUUUUGAUUUGGAUGGGAAAAAGGUAAAUGUACAAUGUAUGUUUAAUGUAAUUAUAUAUGUUAAUAUACAGCUAUGACCUUUUAUCUUUGAGCAGUCCUUAUUCUUCUUGCCUAUUCUGAGUUUAUGUUCAUUCUGGAAAGUUCUUUAGCUGUAAUUUUAAGCUGACAGAGGGACACAAAGCUGUGCAUUUGCUAGUAGUUAAAACAAUAGUCCCUUUAACAGGACGGUUCUUUUGGGUACGUCGGGGAUGUUGGGUUUCUCCGCACUGCUUUCCCAGGGGCCCCCUCAGCUGUCAAAGCCCCAGCCUCCCGGCUUGAAUUACCAAGAUGUCUGCCUUCACGGCACUCUCUAGAAAACGGUGGGAGCUGACGCAGCCAUUCCUCACACUGGACAAACAGGAGGGGCCCAGCUCCAAGGUGCCCACACCUCGCUGGGGCAGCACUCAAAGAAUCUCUCAACUUUCCAAGGGCUCUUGAAGAACACAAGUUUGAAGGCUUGGGGAAAGUUUCAGAAUAUGCUCUUCAUGGCAUUUCUCUCCACAGUUGGCCUACAGGCAGAUGUUGCACUCCAAACAAGUUAUCAUUGGGCUCCAGGCCUCCCCCCGGUUGGCUACCCACAGGGGGCGGGGUGGGAGUUGACAGCACUGCUGAUUACCCUUGGUACCAUAAUGUUGUACUGCCUUGACAUGGGGAGGCUCUGUCCUGCACAGGACGUUUCCUAGGCUUCUACCGCACAUUCACAUGACAGAUGCAAAGCAAAAGCAAUCCUGGCCAGAGCAUUCAAGUCCAGAGGAGGUCAAACUAGUAAGCUCUCCAUGAUCAAUGCUAAGGUCCUUGAAAUUUUUGUAUGAUGCAGUCCGGUCCACGACCAUCAAAAGGCGGGGAACUGUAGGCUACAGAGUCGGACCCUGAGCAUGGGCAGAAUAUCCCCCCCACAGCCCAGAGGAAGGGGCCGGCAUUCCUCCACCCCAGCCCCAGGCAUCCCUUGGGCAAAGAGGGCUGGGGCCUCACAUCUGGAAAGAGAGCAGCUGGCCAAGGAGAGGAACUAGAGAGCAGGAGAUACUGGAUAUGGUGGAAAUACAUGUUAUAAAAGCAAGACAAGGGCCCUCUUUCUAACACUAAAUGUUGCUCCAAAGAAAAAAGAUGUUUUUGAAAAUGCAUGUCAGGAGAUCUCCAACUGGGGAAUGAACACGUGACCUCCCCUCUGGGUACGAUUACCAUCACAUGUGGGAUUUUGUCCAGCUCCAUUCGCUCAGUCAUCUCCAUGAAGAGCUAACUCUAGGAAGGAGCUUGUUAGCAGGAUGGGGACACCCCCGGCCUGAAACCCUGACAGUGAAUUCCUGAAGCGUGACACCGGCCCAGAGCUGGAGUCCUGUCUGCAAGCAGCACAACGCUCUGGAUUUCAUGCGAGGUAUCUUCUCCCGGAGAGAAUAAGGUAAAGUAAUACCCCAGGAACUGCCACAAUAACCAGCUAUGCGGAAUCACAGCACUAAUAAAUGCAUCAUGUAAAUUCACCACAAUAUACAUUCUACAGGUAUUUUUUAACAUGCGCAGCAUGCAAUGAAUAACAAACGUGAAUUGUA
Non-coding RNA from Paramormyrops kingsleyae, 2835 nucleotides. NCBI's taxonomy places the organism in Eukaryota, Metazoa, Chordata, Actinopteri, Osteoglossiformes, Mormyridae. The record is from RefSeq and is a predicted model, not a curated record.